GAUGAACGCUAGCGGCAGGCUUAACACAUGCAAGUCGAGGGGUAACAUUUGCUGCUUGCAGCAGAUGACGACCGGCGCACGGGUGAGUAACGCGUAUGCAACCUACCUUUUACAGACGGAUAGCUUUCGGAAACGGAAAUUAAUACGUCGUAGUCCAUAUAUUACGCAUGUAUAAUAUGGUAAAGCCUUCGGGUGGUAAAAGAUGGGCAUGCGUGCCAUUAGUUAGUUGGUGAGGUAACUGCUCACCAAGACAAUGAUGGUUAGGGGUUCUAAAAGGAUUAUCCCCCCACACUGGUACUGAGACACGGACCAGACUCCUACGGGAGGCAGCAGUGAGGAAUAUUGGUCAAUGGGCGCAAGCCUGAACCAGCCAUGCCGCGUGCAGGAAGAAUGUCUUAUGGAUUGUAAGCUGCUUUUAUACAGGAAGAAUGGACACUACGAGUGGUGUUUUGACGGUACUGUAUGAAUAAGCACCGGCUAACUCCGUGCCAGCAGCCGCGGUAAUACGGAGGGUGCAAGCGUUAUCCGGAUUUAUUAGGUUUAAAGGGUGUGUAGGCUGAUAAAUAAGUCAGUGUUGAAAUACCGAUGCUCAACAUCGGCACCGGCAAUGAUACUGUUUAUCUUGAGUUCAGAUGAAGUAGGCGGAAUGUGUAAUGUAGCGGUGAAAUGCUUAGAUAUUACCCAGAACACCGAUUGCGAAGGCAGCUUGCUAAUCUUGGACUGACGCUGAUGCACGAAAGCGUGGGUAGCGAACAGGAUUAGAUACCCUGGUAGUCCACGCCGUAAACGAUGAUUACUCGUUGUUGGCGAUAUAUUGUCAGCGACCGAGCGAAAGCAUUAAGUAAUCCACCUGGGGAGUACGUUGGCAACAAUGAAACUCAAAGGAAUUGACGGGGGCCCGCACAAGCGGAGGAACAUGUGGUUUAAUUCGAUGAUACGCGAGGAACCUUACCUGGUCUUAAAUGUCUAUUGCAUUAGGUAGAGAUACCUAUUCCCUACGGGGCUAUUUACAAGGUGCUGCAUGGCUGUCGUCAGCUCGUGCCGUGAGGUGUCGGGUUAAGUCCCAUAACGAGCGCAACCCCUAUCGUUAGUUGCCAGCAAGUAGUGUUGGGGACUCUAGCGAGACUGCCACCGUAAGGUGCGAGGAAGGUGGGGAUGACGUCAAGUCAGCACGGCCCUUAUGUCCAGGGCUACACACGUGUUACAAUGGUCGGAACAAAGGGCAGCUACCCGGUGACGGGGUGCCAAUCUCAAAACCCGAUCUCAGUUCGGAUCGAAGUCUGCAACUCGACUUCGUGAAGUUGGAUUCGCUAGUAAUCGUAUAUCAGCCAUGAUACGGUGAAUACGUUCCCGGGCCU
This 1358-nucleotide ribosomal RNA is filed under the name uncultured bacterium. Its description in RNAcentral is "bacterial SSU rRNA". It matches the Rfam family "Bacterial small subunit ribosomal RNA", at positions 28 to 1381 of the family's 1533-position model. The record is from RNAcentral.